This is a non-coding RNA of Ameiurus melas (black bullhead), 73 nucleotides long. Lineage: Eukaryota; Metazoa; Chordata; Actinopteri; Siluriformes; Ictaluridae. The record is from the annotation of a GenBank genome assembly.
GGCACCGUGGUUUAGUGGUUAGCAUGUUUGCCUCACACCUCCGAGGUUGGGGGUUCCGUUCCCGCCUCUGCCC